AACGUAGGUGACAAGCGUUAUCCGGAUUUACUGGGCGUAAAGCGUGCGUAGGCGGUCUCGCAAGUCCGAUGUGAAAUCCCCGGGCUUAACCUGGGAACUGCGUUGGAAACUAGCGAGCUUGAGUAUGGUAGAGGGUGGUGGAAUUUCCUGUGUAGCGGUGAAAUGCGUAGAUAUAGGAAGGAACACCAGUGGCGAAGGCGACCACCUGGACUGAUACUGACACUGAGGUGCGAAAGCGUGGGGAGCAAACAGG
This 253-nucleotide ribosomal RNA is filed under the name uncultured prokaryote. RNAcentral's name for it is "partial 16S ribosomal RNA". It matches the Rfam family "Bacterial small subunit ribosomal RNA", at positions 524 to 776 of the family's 1533-position model. The record is from RNAcentral.